UCAGCAUCUUCAGCUGCCAAAUUCAGCUCACAGCAUUCACACUAGCAUUAUCGCAGGGAUGAACAAAGCUGUGGCAGUAAUGGACGCCCUUUGUGUUCAUUUGAUACUGGAAACCAUUCAUCCCUGUCUUCCCCCUCCACCUGCUCCUGAAAGUAAAACCUCCCCAGUGAGUUCACCUCUCUUUGCUCACCUUUCUAUUUUCUACAAAACUUUAUUGAGACUUUUUGUUCAUGACUUUGAUUAACUUUUUCUCCAAACAUUGGGCUGGUUUCUGCCUUCUCCUCACUGCUGGGAAGUCGUCAUUCACGUCUGAAAGCCUGCAGAUCUGAAAGGGUUCCUCUUUAGCUGUGCACAUCUUUGCCGCACUGUGCUAAUUUUCCUGCUCAAGAGGCUCUGGCACCCUCCCAUCUUCUCUUGAUUGCUUCUUCAUAAUCACCCAAAUGAGCUCUCACUGGUUCCCUUUCAGAGGGGAGAGCAGCACACACCUGCCUGCAAGUUCAUCUUUUGACCUUUAAAGCUGUUUUCUUUAAGGACAAAGCGGUUCAAGUCUGAUGCAUUUUGUUGCUUGUUCAUUUUUUUUGGAAUGCUGCAUCUUUGUGGUUCAGAUUUUAGCCCAGCAUCCCUGAGAUUAGGUGGUCAGUGUUGCUGUGGCCUCCUGUGACAGAAGAAGCGAGCUCAUCAGAAGCUGCAGUCGCCGCAUAAAUAGAAGAGGAGCGCUGAACACCUCCGGGCAACGGAGGAGACGCAGCUGCAGGAAGCCGUGCCUGCAAACAUCAUGUAAACCACAGCGUUACUUCCUGGAAAUGAUGCCUUCGUUUUAUGUCGUGUUUUUGUUCUCUAAAGCAGAAACAUCACCCUCUCUGGCUGGAAAACAUCUACAUAGAUGGAGAUCAUCGAGAUGCACAGUCGAGGUCCAAAUGGUUUCCUGAUUCUGUCCAUUUCACCUACAUUUAAUUGAUAUUCUCUGAAAAUCUUCAGCCUUGAUUAUGUUUUUACCACCAAUUAAUCAACUUUUUUUAUAACAUUUUUUUUGCUAUUUUAGUUUGUUUGCAUCCUUAAAACUUAAAAGCAGCAUAAAUAUUUAUUAUUUUUCCCUCCUGAUUUCACAUUCUUUGCUUGAUCUUUAUGUGUAAAGAAUGAAAAAGUAACAGCUGAUUUAUGCUUAUAUUUAAUGUAAAUAGUUCAAGUGAAGAGUUUAGUGGUUAAAUGGAACACAUACAUGCAAACACAGUAAAUAUGCUGAUAAAAAUUGUUUUUUAAGUAGUUUUAUUACUAUUUUUCUUUUAUUAUUUUCAUUUCUAAAACUACAGAUUUUACCAAGGACCUUUUGUCUGAGAAAUGAAAGGGAACAGAAAUACGAAGACCUACUUUUCUGACUCUUUUGUAUACCUAGAAGAAAGAAAAAGAAAGUUUAUAUUUCUUUUCUAUUUUUUUAUUAAUUGUUUUAGAUUAUUCCUUAUCCUCAGUCUUGUUUUCUGAGUCGGAUGGUCAUUAUUCCCAUCAUUUCAACGCCACAUGAACGCAGCAUUUCCCUAAAUUUAUAUUUCAACUUAUUGGUAUGAAACAAGACCACAUUUUUUAAAUAAAAACUCCAAAAUGUUCUGUUUUAAAAUACAUUUCAAUCCACAUUAAAGCAUGUUUUGGUCCAGAUUCCACAUUAUAUCUUCAUCUAAUGAGGUGAAUCACCAAAACACUCCACAUUUCUGCUCCUGGUCCGGCCUUCUGUCAGAGUUUAGGACCCUUUGUGGCCCACGAGUCAGACCGUCUGCUCAUCUCUGAUCUAUGGAGACGAUGGAGGCUGUGGAUCUGGGUUUUUGAGAUAAGCAAUGAGGGUUCCAUGAUAGGAGCAGACGUGCCGGCACGUUCAGAGGCUGUCAGCAAAGAUACGUUACAGUUAGUCGAACCCCAAUAUCGACACUAGUUUGAUCUAUUUGUAUCAGUAUUUGAGCUUCAUUUGGGGUCUGAAGGUGAAAGAAAUACUGAUCAGUAAUUUCUUCGAUCAAAUGUAGACUGGACAAAAACACCAAGAAGAAAAAAGAGAGUAUUCAGACUGAAAAUGUGUUCAAUUCACUUUAAGUGGAUCAAAUGUGUCCAAUCUGAAUAAAAGUGCAAACUAACUCUAUUUACUUUUGGUAUCAACUUUUUCUGAAAAAAAAAACAACCAGUUUGUCCACAAAAAACACACAAAAAGAGAUGCAAAUGGUCCAAACUAACAGGAACACCUUAAAUUUGAAUUGUUUUUAAACAAAUUAGUUUCCAGUUGAAGUUCAGAAUAAUUAGCCGCUUCCCCAAAAGCCUUCCCUCAUCACACUCGUCGCAAGCGUUCGUUUCUACAGCAGCAGAGGCCAAUCCGGGCCGACCAGGGGCCGUCCUGAUCCCCAGAAACAAAAACGAUUAGCAGCACUCACGGGUGAGCCAGAGCAGCAGCUAAGCAGAUUUACUUUUCAAUUACUUGCAGCAAAUAAAAGCAUGAACACCACCACCCUCCAGCAGCUCAAAGCUGGAAACAAAUGGAGAGAAACCCAAGCCGAAGAGAGAGUUGUAAAUGCUUUAAUCAUGACUCAGCACAAUACACUUGAAGGCCUCCGCACCAUCAGUCCUCCUUUAUUUACAGGGUUUACACGGGACAGCGUGACGUCUGGAGGGCGGGGCUGGGAACGACAGGCAGGAGGAGCUUACAGGUCACAGGUCACAGGACAGAUCUACACACUCACAGCAUCAGUAUCAAAAGAACUGGGUCACCUCCCUGUGGAAAUGGAGCAAGGUCGCCACCUUCUGGAUGGAUCCCCGCGCCCAAGACUAAAAGAGAGGACACACAACUGGCUAAUAUUUGAACACACACUAUCUAAAGGAGUCAGCAGCUAGCUAUGCGUCUAUCUAAAGCGGUACAAAAAAAGAGCUUCCGAUGGCUUUGAGAG
Oryzias melastigma (Indian medaka) is the source of this 2918-nucleotide long non-coding RNA. RefSeq lists it as uncharacterized. The record is from RefSeq and is a predicted model, not a curated record. The transcript has 2 exons. NCBI's taxonomy places the organism in Eukaryota, Metazoa, Chordata, Actinopteri, Beloniformes, Adrianichthyidae.